RNAcentral lists this ribosomal RNA (618 nucleotides) under Bacillus sp. enrichment culture clone CBMAI_984. RNAcentral describes it as "bacterial SSU rRNA". It matches the Rfam family "Bacterial small subunit ribosomal RNA", at positions 323 to 929 of the family's 1533-position model. Lineage: Bacteria; Bacillati; Bacillota; Bacilli; Caryophanales; Bacillaceae. The record is from RNAcentral.
GACACGGCCCAGACUCCUACGGGAGGCAGCAGUAGGGAUCUUCCGCAAUGUACGAAAGUCUGACGGAGCAACGCCGCGUGAGUGAUGAAGGUUUUCGGAUCGUAAAGCUCUGUUGUUAGGGAAGAACAAGUGCGAGAGUAACUGCUCGCACCUUGACGGUACCUAACCAGAAAGCCACGGCUAACUACGUGCCAGCAGCCGCGGUAAUACGUAGGUGGCAAGCGUUGUCCGGAAUUAUUGGGCGUAAAGGGCUCGCAGGCGGUUUCUUAAGUCUGAUGUGAAAGCCCCCGGCUCAACCGGGGAGGGUCAUUGGAAACUGGGAAACUUGAGUGCAGAAGAGGAGAGUGGAAUUCCACGUGUAGCGGUGAAAUGCGUUAGAGGAUGUGGAGGAACACCAGUGGCGAAGGCGACUCUCUGGUCUGUAACUGACGCUGAGGAGCGAAAGCGUGGGGAGCGAACAGGAUUAGAUACCCUGGUAGUCCACGCCGUAAACGGAUGAGUGCUAAGUGUUAGGGGGUUUUCCGCCCCUUAGUGCUGCAGCUAACGCAUUAAGCACUCCGCCUGGGGAGUACGGUCGCAAGACUGAAACUCAAAGGAAUUGACGGGGGCCCGCACAAG